UUCAGAAAGAAUAGGCCACCAUUGCGGUCAAACGAACCUGUGCUUGCUAUGGGAUUUUGUUCAGCUGCAAAAGCUUUACAUACUGGCCUCUAUGGAGCUGCAUCCAAUGGACGGGUUGAAAACUGCUGCUGAACUGACCGUGGGGUCGGCCGUUGACCGCCAAGGCAACUUCACCUUCUAAACCGGUUGAGCUGCCACCCUCGCCGGUCGUGAUAAGCCGUCUCGGCCGCUUCGUAUCACUUGACCCGGUGUAGCUGCAGUCUCACCUUGCUACUAUGAGCCGCCCCUUUCCGCCGCAUGCCCGUAGUGCUGCCUCUGCUGCGAAAUCGCCGGAUCACCUCUGCCACCAGUGAGUCGGCUUGCAACGACCUGGAUUCGCCGUCGCUGAGCUGCAACAGGUUUGACCCCGAGUCAUCGCCAUGACCCGCCUCUACGUCGCUGUCUCCUGCGGCCUCUCAGUGCUCUGAGCCGCCGUACCUCGGGUCGCAACCCGCCUCUGCGUUGCCCUCCUCUGCCAUGGGCCUCCUCGGCCUCCAGUACUGCUGAGCCCGCCAUCCGAGCCUCCGCCACGGCCUCGCUUUCAUCGCUCAAAAUCGCCGCUGGUUUGUGGCUCAUCUGACUCCGACUCCGCCUCACCGCCGCAUGUAUGCCGGCGCCCUUUUGAGUCGCCUCCGAUGUCGCUCCGCAUCGCUGCAGGCUCCGACCACCUUCUCCUUGAGCCGCCGCAGCCAAUUAUCACCGCUGCAGCCUUGCCUUGUCAGGCUCACCUUUGAGUAGCCAUCGCAGGGCCGUCGGGCGCCGUUCCUCUGCCGUCCGCUUCAAGUCGCCGGUCGCCUUGCCUCUCCUCAUCGGAAGGUUUUUGUUGCUCUGAGCCGCCGAUCUCGCCACUGCUGCCGAAAUCCGGUCACGCCUCCGUCUGUGAGCCGCCUCGUAUUUGAGUUGACAUCUUGUUUCAACCUGCGACCGACCUCGUGUUUCGUGAGCCUGCGCCUUCGCUACUCUGCGCUGGCUCCUGCCUCCGCACGUAUGACCCGCUUAGCGCCGGCUCUCGCACGCCCAGCCGGCUUGUCGCCCUGCACCAGCCUGCUGCCUCUGCUCCACCCCGCCCGUCGCCGGGUCUCCACACCAGCUGCCCGCCUGUGUAGAUGCCAAUGAGGAGAGCGCUGCCCGUGUGGUUGGUGUUAAAGCCACAGAUGAAGGCAUGCAAGAGGAUACAUUUGACCUGUCUGUCGCUGAUAAUCAGGAAAAACGAGAUCUCUUUAGCUGAAUGACCAUCCUUCGCAAAAUUUCGGUUUAAUGCCGACCGUCUGUUGUUCGCCUAGCUGAUAUUCCAGUACUGAAUCAUUCCAGAGGCAACCUUCAGAAAAGCGUCCAAGCAGAGGAAAAAAUACAGGAGGGCACCUGUUUGCAUAAACAGCAGUGGUAGUGGUGGUCCACUUCCUUAGAGUUGAGCUCAAAAGCAACAGGAUUAACAAGCUAAUAGAGGGAUAUGCAAAGAUUUGAUCCUGAGUUUGGAUUUAAUGGAGGCACGUACACCAUUCAAACUUCCACAUGAAGACUGCUGCUGGAUUCGUUAUGAAAAAGACAAAGGAAGACCGUGUGGUUACUAGUGCCACAUCAGAACAGUCAAAAUGAGAAGUGCAUUUGUACGAGCUGUGUUCUUUGUCUGAUUUUGUCCAGCAUUAUCAGCAUCAACAUCUGCGUUCAUCUGACAAGACAUAUAAGAUGAUAUCCAUCUAAGUCUAUUUUUUUUAGAACGAAGGCUCAAGAAAGAGCCCGGCUUUGAAUUAACAAAGCCAUCAACCGGCCAGGAUUACAUCAACCGCCAACUUACAAAGACAGAACAAAGAAACAGCUAAAAGGAUACAUAGUGCUGUGCAAGCAGCUAAUAGGCUUCCUGCCAUCUACAAGCAAAGAUGAAAAAAACUGAAGAACAAGGCCAGCUUGAAGACAAUGGAGCCCUCCACUGAGUGUAAUCCAUCCCGCCGAGACACCAGCAGGCCUUGCGGAGAUCCAACUAGCAUGUAAGGGGACGCUGACAGCUCCAUAGACUCCGACCGAAACCGUUGACAACAUCCUACAUCUCCGAAGGGGCUCCCUAGCCCCUCGCCUGGCAUGAGGCGCUGAUCCGUCGGACGAUGCAAACACUCUCCCAAGAGCAAAGAUGUACAACCGUCACCAUUGCCGCCCGGAAAGCCUGACCAGGGCACCACCAACUCGCGUCGCCGAGCUCCACAAAGGCAAACAUGGCACUGGGGGGGGGGGACCAACACUCAAGGAGAAGCAAAAUGCACGAUGAGGCUGCUGAUGACGGAGCAAACAAUGGUGGGAAGCCACUGAACUUGGAGAAGAACCUCCAAGACCACCAACUCCAACCAUGUCACCGUCGUCCGCCCACCAACCAGAUCGAACUUGCCACCGCCCCAUGCUCAACCGAAGGCGGCACCUCCAUGAAGGUGACGGUGCCGCGAGCGUAGCUGCCGCCCAAUCCAGAGGGAUUUGGGUUUUCACCCCGGUGCACGGGCAGGGGAGAGAGGCAGAAGGGGGAAAGGGGUCACCUUGACGGCGCCUACAGGUAGGAGACGGCGCCCUCAGGCGUCGCCGUCGUCGUGGCCGGCAUAGCCAGCCGUGGAUUUCUCCAGGCCCCCAUCUCCCCCACCCCUACCACAAACGCGACCCCGGCGACCAGGGUCAGCCAGAAACCAGAUCUGACAGGGGCCGAAAGGAUUGGGGGCGGAGGCGUCAGAUCCGGGGCGGGCGCCCCCGCGGCCACCGCGCCCCAUAGUCACCACCCGCUGCCGCCUUGCCACCCGCGUGUCCAAGGGGGAUGGCCAGCACCAGCGAUGCCGCAAGCUGAAGACGAAGACGCACCACCGCCCGAGGCCGCCGCCCCGGCUUCAGAGCCCCUGCGCGAAAUAGGCGGACAGAUCCUCGCCACCACCCUCCCCGGCGGACGCGCAGCUUUCCGGGGACCCCCUCCGGUGGUGGCGAGGGAGAGGAGAAGGGGGGAGGAGGGCCGGCGGCGGCUAGGGUUAGCGCCGCCCGAGUCGCCCCUACGGGAGCGACGCGGGGGCCCGGGAGGUCUAAGUCUAUUUUAUUAGCACAUAUUGUUUCUUCCAAGAACAAUUACUCUUGUCCGCAAUAUAUUUUGUGCAUGACAGUGAUUCAUUAUAAAGAUGGUGACAUGCUGUGCCUAUGGAGUAUGCGUUAGCAUCAUCAUGCACCGGCAUCCAUGCCCGCUUGUUGGUGAAUGGGUGUGCGCAAGCUGCCGUCCGUGCAGCUCGAUUUACAUCAACACGAUGCAACUGACUCGUCCGUCCAUGCGGCUUGCCGCGCCUGUGAUUGACUAGCCCGUCCGCACCGGCUUACAACACCACGGCCGGUUCAUCUGUCCGUGCCUGCGAUUGACUCGCCCGUCCACAUCAGUUUAAAUGCCGCGGCCGACCCAUCUGGCGCUAGACUCGCCCGUGAAUUGAUUUAAUCUUCACCAAAGUGAUGAUCAACUCCGCGACGGAUAAUUUCCGGCCUAACAUAUCAGGUGAAAUUCAUCGAGUAUAUUUCUAUUUACAUAUUAAUUUCUUUAAAAAAAAGAGAAAGGAAUUAUUCUGGCUUGCAAGUUCUCCAAUGCAGGACAAGUUGUCUGCUACAAAAGAGAUUAUUAUAUCACUGAGUUGUUGAAUGACUCAUACCGGAUUAUAUCGUGGUCAACUAUGGAGAAUCUUAAGCCAACUCAUUGAGUCGUCUUAAAGACUCGGGGGCUACAUGGACAUAGCUCAAUAAAUGUUGACAGUUUAAAGGCCGUCAGGAAAAAUUCCGGCUCAAGAAGAAUUUAUCUCUCGCAAAGCUCGAGUUCUCAGGAAAAAUUAAAGGGACCAAAGAGAGUAUGUUGCAAAGCACAACUCAAACAUAGGUACCCUGCUUCAAAUGACCAUUGGGGGCUGAUCGUAUUCGAAUCUAGCUUAACCCCUUUGGCACAGCUUCCUCAUCGUAUUCGAAUCAUAGAUGUUCAAACCUCUUGAUUAUUUGGGGGCUGGAUCGUAUUCGAAUCAUAGCUUAACCCCUUUUGGCCCGACCCUGAUUGUAUUCAAAUCAGAGUCGUUAAAUAUUUAGACCACCGGGGGCUGAUCGUAUUCGAAUCUAGCUUAACUCCUUUGGCACAGCUUCCUGAUCGUAUUCGAAUCAUAGCUGUUCAAACAACUUGAUCAUUUGGGGGCUGGAUCAUAUUCGAAUCAUAGCUUAACCCCUUUUGGUCCGACUCUGAUCGUAUUCAAAUCAGAGUCGUUAAAAAAGCUUCAAGGUCACUUGGGGGCUUCCUGUUCAAACAUAGGUGUCUUCACCAAAGAGAACAUAGCUGUUGGUAUCCUCUUGAUUGGCGCAAUGCCAAAAACCACUUGGGGCCUGCCUGUUCAAACAUAGGUCUAUUCACCAAAGAGAACAUAGUUGUUAACCCUUUUGGUCCGGCUUACUGAUCGUAUUCGAAUCAGAAGCCUCGUGUUUUUUCUCUCCUUGUUGAUUUAAGUUUUUUGAAACAGUCUUUCGGGUUUCUCUUGAUACUUUUUUGCUUAUGUCUGAAGCAUAUAUGUGGUUUCGAUUAACCCGGUCUGGCUUUCGACGAUAAGUCGCCAGCAUAUGACAAUAUUAAAUACUUGAAGUAUGGGCUUCUAAGAUUUGGGUUAUCAUCCUUACUGCAUUGGUGUCAUAAGCCGGCCAUACGAUUCAAUAUCACAGGAACCGGUUUUCAAACCGGAUUAUAUUAUUCAAAUCUUUAAUAGCCAACAUGGCUGAAUUUUUAUUAUGGUUAUCAAUAACCAAUAUUAUGAUGGAGGUCUUCAAAGUCGCUUCAGCGCAAUGGCUAUUAUGUAUCAAUGGAUAUGAUUUAUUUUUACAAUGGAGGGAAUAGUCCCGAGUCGCCGCAGGCUUACGACCCGGCACUUGGGGGCUACAUUAUUCAAAUUGAGAUUACAUCAAAUAUGCAAGUCCCAUGUCACUGCCAGCAUGCACCAUGGCACUUGGGGGCUAAUGUAAAGUCAUUUUUUGAUCAACUUAUUGAAGACCCUACUCAUCCCAUUGUAAUGAGCCGGUCCUUGGGGGCUACCAAUUGCUCCUGUCAAAAAUUCAAGGUACACAAGCCUCAACCCAUUAUAUUGAAAGAUCCACUACUCAGUAGGUAGAGUACAAAGCUCUUAACCUUAUGGACGUGGGUUCAAGCCCCAUGGUGGAGAUUACAUCAUAUGAUGUUAUUAUCAAUGAAUUAUAUACAAAGUCCCAGCUCAGUAUUAUCUUACUGAGCUGGCCCUUGGGGGCUACACGUUGCUGCUCAAGUCUACAUGAUCAUAUUUACAAAGUCCAUGCUCAUUAUUUCAUAAUGACCCGACACUUGGGGGCUACAAGUGAUAUGAAUAUAAUGGAGGUACAUUUUCAAGUUUGAUGUUAGCGACAAUUAUAGCCCAGUGCUAUCAAUAUUUACAAACCGGAUAUUUUGGCAAUGAUAAAUCGGCAAGUUCUACAUCUUCAAGCUGGCUGAAAAUCAGAUGAGUAUUUCAUGACCAAUGUUUUUGAUUAUGAAGCUGGCUUAUUGACCCGGAUUUUCUAGAAGAAGGAAAUACCAAGGAGUUAAGGAUGAUCAGGUGCCGGCUUACAAGAAUUCUUAACCCAGAGCAUAAUCUGUCAAAAUUGUUCUUGUGUUUGUUUUACAGGAUCAGUUUAACAUGGAUAAAUCCAAAUUAAACCAGGGGCUAAUGUCGGGGAUAUACCCCACGACGUGACCCGGCCGGAGAUAUGACCCGGCUGAGAUUUGAUGUUUCAUUGGUGACCCGACAGACUAUAAGCCGGCGGGAACAGUUAAGCAGGUUAAGCCGGCGGGAACAGUUAAGCAGGUUAAGACGGUGGGAACAAUUAAGCAGGUUAAGCCGACAGACACAGUUAAGCAUUGUAAGCCGGCGGACAUAGUUAAGCAUUGUAAGCCGGCAGAGAGUUAAGCCAGACAGUUAAGCCAGAUUGUAAGCCGGAUUGUAAGCCGGCUUACGUUAAGAAGCCCAAGACGUUAAGAAGCCCAAGACGUUAAGAAGCCCAUGGUGAGAAGCCCAUGGUAAGACGUCAAAAUAGGUUAAGUCCUAAUCCGAGUUUGACUCUACAUGUAACCCGCCCCUUCAACUUAUAUAAGGAGGGGCAGGGCACCCCAAGAGGGGAGAGCAAGAAAAUAAUCGUUAAGGCUAGACACAACUAGAGGAGAGCCGGAUUUACGACGUCUCCCUCAUGAGCAUAAUGAGACCUAGCCACAAACAACAUGUAGGGCUAUUACCAGAUGAUGUUUCCCGGGGCCCGAAGCUGUCUAAAUCCUUGUCUUGUGUGUUGCGUCUCUCAUCCCGAUCAACCCCUUUCAAGCUACCACAUAGAUGCGUUGGCCUCACGACUAAGUCCUCACACUAGGACAUCUGCCGUGACCUUUCCAAGACAAGGAUGAAACAAUCUCGUGUGACCUGGUAAGAAGAAAACAAAGACACAUCGGCAUACACAUGAAUAUUGGCCCCAGUGUUAACCCACCAAUCGGUGGACUGACAAACUGAAAGUACGGUAAACAGAUUACCAUACCUUGUUGCCGCAUCAUUGUUGCUCAGAGUCACAUUGACAGACUUUGCGUCCUGUCCUGACUUCUUAUACUUGUUUGGGCACUUGUUUGCCCAAUGUUCCUCUGAACCACAAGUGAAGCAGCCAUCUCUCUUCUUAUCUUUCUUCUUACCCUUCUUCUUGAAGGUAGUAUUUUGCUGGAAAGAGUUCUUUCCCUUGAACUUGUGGAAGUUCUUCUGCACCACAUUGGCGCUAGAAGAACCCUCUGCCCCUUUCACGUGUGAGUCAUUUGCUCUCGAGUUCCGCUCAACACUUAGAUGACUGAUGACAUCCUCAAUAGAGAAUUCACGUCUCAAGUGCUUGAGAGAAGUAGCAAAGUUCCUCCAUCCAGCAGGGAGUUUUGCAAUAAUGCAACCCGCGACAAAGUUGUCCGAUAACUCACACUUUAGGAGCUCCAGCUCCUUAGCGAUGCAUUGUAUCUCAUGGGCCUGGUCCAAUACAAAACGGUUAUCAACCAUUUUGUAAUCAUGGAGCUGCUCCAUAGCAUACAACUCGCUUCCAACAUCGGUUGCGCCGAACUUAGCUUUGAGCGCAUCCCACAAAUUCUUGGCAACACACAUAUGGAGAUAUGCGUCGACUAGCUUGUCUCCGAUCAUAGUAAGAACGGCUCCAACAAAGAUGGUGGUUGCCUCCCUAAACGCAUUCUCCUGUUUAGGAGCAAUCGUUACCGUGGGAGAAACACCACCAACCCAGAACACGUUCAUUGCUGUGAGCCACAAAGUAGUCCUCGUCUGUCAAAGUAAACUUUUCCGGUUUCAGAGUAGCGGCGAAGCCAUGAGUCGAAAAGUGCCUAAAAUAAGGUUUUUGGAUUGUUGGAAAUGUUAGCACUUUUCUGACUAAUCUAAUCCAUGAGUAAAUAGUAAGGAUGGUAAAUACAGUAUGCAUCUCAUACCGAUACCUAAGCAUGUGAGCACGUACAGUACAUACAACUGAAACAUCUAUGAACAACAUAUAUACGGCUAGCACAUGAACGGGCAAAUAGGGGAUGAACGAGUCAUACCCUCCGGUUGGCCAGGCCAACGCGGCGGCGGCAGCGGCAGCCUCGGCAUGGGCCGAGGCCUUCUUCUUGGCGGCGGCAUCGUCAGCCAUGGGGUCGAUGCAUGGGAAGUAGUGGAAGCAGAGGCGGACGGAGACGGGGACGGAUCGGGAGCAGUCGCGUCGAGACGCUCCCCAAAACCCUUAUUGCCGUUCUCCUGGGCAGGAUCUCGAACAACAGGGUUCCGGAGGCACCUGCUCUCCCGACCAACCGUGCACGCGGUCGUUGGGAUGGGAUUGCUGGAAGCAGCACAGAGAGAGGAACAGUAGAUGACGGCUAGGGUUGUACGAGAGGGAGUGAGUGAACUGAGUUAGGGUUUACUCCACUCGCCAACCCCUUCUUAUAUAGACCAUUAGGUAGAAGGGCCUGGGCCAGGCCCACGACCGAGUCCGCGAACAGCCCACGGUCCAACGUCUUGGACAGUGGCGCUUCCGUAAGUGACUCGUUAAUUAAUUAACCAUUCCCGAGCGGCAAAAAUAAGCUUCGGCUCGGCUCAUUGCGGCGCGCGCACGCGUGCACGCGUGUCGUGACGAGGCGAGGCGAGGCGUGGCGAGUCGGGCGGGCGGCGACGGAGGAGGAGCGCGCAUGUACAUCUCCUAUUCCCAAGCUCCCAAUAGCAAGUUGUAGAGCAACCCUUAUAAAGAGGUCUCACUCUUCUUACUGUAGCAGUAUGUGACUAAGCUUUCCACACUUCCCACCACUUGUCGUACACAUGCAUGGCCUUAGAGAUUAACUAGGGAUUAUUUUCUUAUAUGGGCCUAAGCCCAUCCAUUUAGAUAUAUUAAAACUGAGCACUUUUCCAGCCCUCUCAAGGAAUCAGCGCUCUGAGCCGUCGGAUCGCCAGUUUGAAGCAUUUUUUGCCGUUGGAUAAGCUGUGAAUCGCUCCUAAUCGGGUACUCAUCGCUAAUAACAAUCGCUAACCAUCACGGGCCGCUGCUCCGGUCACUUUUUUGGGCGUUCCUGAUAAAUUGAGCCUAAUGGGCCUCUAGCAACCUCCUUACAGACCAACACACAGUGAAUCGACGCGGUGCGUAGAAAAACCUACGGAGUAGGCACGACGAUGCGGGUCUCCUGUUCCCUAGGUAUGCCGCCGCCGCCGCCGAUCUCCUCUUCCAUCUGGGCCGCUGCUACUCUUGCAGCCGUCGGUUCCACUCAUCCGCAAACCCCGUCCCUCCCUCACCUCUUAUGACCGAGGGUGAAUCGUUGGUGUGCUGCCAGCUUGAGCGAGAUGCCGUCGAUGCGCAAGGAAGAUGCGAAGGGGCAGUACUACACUCGCAACCCUAUUGAGGUGGCGGUGGCGGACGCCCCUUCACGAAGACGUCCUUGAAGGUAAUGGGCAGGCGAUGACAACGGCGUGGUGAAGAACUCUUGCGUCCUGAUUCCAGUUCGAUGUCCCGGCUAUCGAUGCAUUUGAGUAUUUGACAGCCGGCCGCAGGGAGAAGGUCAAGGCUAAGCAACCAAGCAGUAGAAUUAUCCCUCCGGUUCUAUCAAUUUUUGCAGUCGUUGUAUUCGCGUUGUGUUCAUUGGCCGGUGAAAGAUUCAGUUUCGCAUAUGGGGAUUCUAAUGUGGAUAUUUGAUUUUCAGUUCAAGUAAUUGGGUUCCUGGUUUUAUUGCCAUUUAUAUCUGUGCAUACAUCCAAUUUCUAAGCAGCAGUGGUACACAGUCAAGUCGACCAGAAGGCUUCGAUUUUCUGCUCGUCGGCGUUAGUCUGUAGUGUACUCAUCUGCCUUUUUUUCCCUGCCCCCUGUCUCCUCUAUGGCUUUCUGAAUCCUGCUGGCAUGUAGAUGGCUUAUUUGGUAUUCUGGAAGAUGUCUCUUGAUUCAUAAACUCCAGAUGAUUAUGAGCACGCACGCACACUUUGCCGCUGGUUGGUGUGGAUUUGUGAUGCAGGAGCCUCGUCUUCACAGAGGCAGCAGGUGGGAGAAAGAUUGAUAAAGUGGUGGUGUCCGGUGGCUGGGAGGAUCACACGGAAAGGACGUUAUUUUCUGUACUGUUUACUCAUACAGAAGGGACUUUGCUGAUUUGUGCCUAUCAACUAUCCCUAUGCUUUGAAUUUAAGGAAUCAAUAUGGGCACGUAAUGUUGAGAAGAAGUGGAAGCGUCAAGAUUUACAAUUUUGAAUAUUCCUAAUAGUUGUAUAUAUAGUUUUAUAUUUUGCAAAAAAUACAUGUAGUUUGUAUACUUUCAUCUGUGUAUCAACACUAGCUAGAGCAGGUAAUGACUUUAGAUAGGAACUGGUCUCCUUGUACUUCAACAGUAAGUUUUUGUCUAUUGCAUUCUAUUUUAUGCUGCUGCAAGUUUUUCAGAGCUGCUGAUAUAUGUCGGUGCAUGACAUUAUAAGGC
RNAcentral lists this ribosomal RNA (10005 nucleotides) under Triticum aestivum (bread wheat). RNAcentral describes it as "partial small subunit ribosomal RNA". The stretch from base 5153 to 5221 matches the Rfam family "tRNA". Lineage: Eukaryota; Viridiplantae; Streptophyta; Magnoliopsida; Poales; Poaceae. The record is from RNAcentral.